Molecule: ribosomal RNA, 305 nt
Filed under: uncultured bacterium
Lineage: Bacteria
Description: bacterial SSU rRNA
Rfam family: Bacterial small subunit ribosomal RNA
Source: RNAcentral
GUCCCUACGGGGGGCAGCAGUGGGGGAUAUUGGACAAUGGGGGAAACCCUGAUCCAGCGAUGCCGCGUGAGGGAAGAAGGUUUUCGGAUUGUAAACCUCUGUGGAGGGGGACGAUAAUGACGGUACCCCUUUAGGAAGCCACGGCUAACUACGUGCCAGCAGCCGCGGUAAUACGUAGGUGGCGAGCGUUGUCCGGAAUUACUGGGUGUAAAGGGAGUGUAGGCGGGAAAGCAAGUCAGAAGUGAAAACUAUGGGCUUAACCCCGGUACUGCAUUUGAAACUGUCCGGCUGGAGUGCAGGAGAGG